AUGCAAGUAGAACGCUGAAGGAGGAGCUUGCUCUCUCUGGAUGAGUUGCGAACGGGUGAGUAACGCGUAGGUAACCUGCCUGGUAGCGGGGGAUAACUAUUGGAAACGAUAGCUAAUACCGCAUAACAGUAGAUGUUGCAUGACAUUUGCUUAAAAGGUGCAAUUGCAUCACUACCAGAUGGACCUGCGUUGUAUUAGCUAGUUGGUGGGGUAACGGCUCACCAAGGCGACGAUACAUAGCCGACCUGAGAGGGUGAUCGGCCACACUGGGACUGAGACACGGCCCAAACUCCUACGGGAGGCAGCAGUAGGGAAUCUUCGGCAAUGGACGGAGGUCUGACCGAGCAACGCCGCGUGAGUGAAGAAGGUUUUCGGAUCGUAAAGCUCUGUUGUAAGAGAAGAACGAGUGUGAGAGUGGAAAGUUCACACUGUGACGGUAUCUUACCAGAAAGGGACGGCUAACUACGUGCCAGCAGCCGCGGUAAUACGUAGGUCCCGAGCGUUGUCCGGAUUUAUUGGGCGUAAAGCGAGCGCAGGCGGUUAGAUAAGUCUGAAGUUAAAGGCUGUGGCUUAACCAUAGUACGCUUUGGAAACUGUUUAACUUGAGUGCAAGAGGGGAGAGUGGAAUUCCAUGUGUAGCGGUGAAAUGCGUAGAUAUAUGGAGGAACACCGGUGGCGAAAGCGGCUCUCUGGCUUGUAACUGACGCUGAGGCUCGAAAGCGUGGGGAGCAAACAGGAUUAGAUACCCUGGUAGUCCACGCCGUAAACGAUGAGUGCUAGGUGUUAGACCCUUUCCGGGGUUUAGUGCCGUAGCUAACGCAUUAAGCACUCCGCCUGGGGAGUACGACCGCAAGGUUGAAACUCAAAGGAAUUGACGGGGGCCCGCACAAGCGG
This 894-nucleotide ribosomal RNA is filed under the name uncultured bacterium. Its description in RNAcentral is "bacterial SSU rRNA". It matches the Rfam family "Bacterial small subunit ribosomal RNA", at positions 55 to 932 of the family's 1533-position model. The record is from RNAcentral.